Heteronotia binoei (common prickly gecko) is the source of this 82-nucleotide small nucleolar RNA. RefSeq annotates it as small nucleolar RNA U3. The record is from RefSeq and is a predicted model, not a curated record. The transcript has a single exon. NCBI's taxonomy places the organism in Eukaryota, Metazoa, Chordata, Lepidosauria, Squamata, Gekkonidae.
AAGACGAUACUUUCAGGGAUCAUUUCUAUAGUUCCUAACUAGAGAAGUGCAUUCGAAAGUAUUCUCCAAGCUGCCUGCUGGC